GGCAGCCGCGGUAAUUCCAGCUCCAAUAGCGUAUAUUAAAGUUGUUGCAGUUAAAAAGCUCGUAGUUGAAUUUCGGGAUCAAUUUGCUGGUCGUGCCUCUGGUACGUACUGGUAUUAUUGGUUUCUCCCUUCUGACGAACCAUGAUGUCAUUAAUUUGAUGUCGUGGAGAAUCAGGACUGUUACUUUGAAAAAAUUAGAGUGUUUAAAGCAGGCAUUAGCUUGAAUACAUUAGCAUGGAAUAAUGAAAUAGGACGUUUGAUCCUAUUUUGUUGGUUUCUAGGAUUGACGUAAUGAUUAAUAGGGAUAGUUGGGGGCAUUAGUAUUCAAUUGUCAGAGGUGAAAUUCUUGGAUUUAUUGAAGACUAACUACUGCGAAAGCAUUUGCCAAGGAUGUUUUCAUUAAUCAAGAACGAAAGUUAGGGGAUCGAAGACGAUCAGAUACCGUCGUAGUCUUAACCAUAAACUAUGCCGACUAGGGAUCGGAUGAUGUUAAUUUUUUAAUGACUCAUUCGGCGCCUUA
RNAcentral lists this unclassified non-coding RNA (520 nucleotides) under uncultured Glomus. Its description in RNAcentral is "SSU rRNA". It matches the Rfam family "Eukaryotic small subunit ribosomal RNA", at positions 569 to 1090 of the family's 1831-position model. Lineage: Eukaryota; Fungi; Glomeromycota; Glomeromycetes; Glomerales; Glomeraceae. The record is from RNAcentral.